UCCCGUGAAGAACGCUGAGUGCCAGGCUCUGCAAUUUUUCUAAUUUGUUCCCUUUUCCUUGUCUGACAGGAGUGUUUGCCGCCUCUGAUGCUAAUCGUGAGACUUUUCAGCAAAGUCGUCCAUCCCGUAAGAUUCCCCAUCUCAGCUCUGCCCACUCUGACGUCUCUUUUGUUUGUGGUGAAGAUGGGUUCCCUCUCUGGAAGGCAGAUGAGGGCAAACAAGAGCAGAAAGUCGCCUCGCAAGUGCAGGUGGUCAAUGAGAGACGGAGGUGUCAUGGUGCAGAUGGAGAUAAAUGGCGCGCUCUCAUCCUGUUUACGCUGCGUGAAAGAUUGAAGAGUACGCCGCAACGCACACGCCACUCAACGCCGACGGGCGCUCACCGGCAUCUGCAAACAGAUCAAGUGCUUCACCACAAGGCCUUUCAAGGUUUACUCCAGUUGACUCGGACGACAAACAAAAUUCAUCGGACAACUCUGGCCGGCUCUCGGCAACGCCGGACCGUGUUGAAGUCGCGCGCGUCCAUGCGGCGCUAAUGCGGUCACAAAGCAAAGCGCCUCUCGGAGGGGACGCCCUAUCUUUGCGGACACAGACUGCCACCAAGGUCUGCGUUUGGCGUCUGAAAAUGCCUGCGGGUGUCGCCGGCCAACCCGAGCGAGCGUGUUGACAAAGGACGAGCUGAGGCAGCCGACAUGCGUGCAAAUGCCACCCAUCCCGGCGGGGUCGGGUUGCCUUUUCACGCCUUCCAAGGAGCUCUUCCCGCCGUGACUCUGUUAUCUUGAGGCCCACAUGUCCGCACUGAGGCUUCCGCCAGUUCACAUAGCGCAUAACCAAUCCCACCGGUUCGGGAUUAGGGGGGUAGCCUGUCCACCGACACCACUCGAAGCCACCACGAAGGCUUGGAAGGCAAGAUAGAUCGGAGACGGCCGGCGGCAAAGACAGACAACUAAGCCGGACGGAAAGGAAAGGAGAGAUCGGUAAAAGAGUUUUUGUAAAGUGACUGUACUUUAUGAAACACGGAUUCUACGACCAAACCGAA
Molecule: long non-coding RNA, 1036 nt
Organism: Syngnathus acus (greater pipefish)
Lineage: Eukaryota; Metazoa; Chordata; Actinopteri; Syngnathiformes; Syngnathidae
Exons: 3
Source: RefSeq, a predicted model, not a curated record